Cavia porcellus (domestic guinea pig) is the source of this 1097-nucleotide long non-coding RNA. RefSeq lists it as uncharacterized. The transcript is spliced from 4 exons. NCBI's taxonomy places the organism in Eukaryota, Metazoa, Chordata, Mammalia, Rodentia, Caviidae. The record is from RefSeq and is a predicted model, not a curated record.
UGUCUGGCAAACAGCUUUGCAUUAGAUGUCGAGAGAUUAAAAUCAAAGCUUAGCUCACCAUUUCCCAGUACCCUAGGAAAACCCUCCCCACGAGGGGCCUCAGUUUCCCCAUUUUUAACUUAAAUGAGUUGUGCUCAUAGGCAGUCUUCUAGAGCGGAGAGGACUUUGGUGGUGCCCUCUUACUGUGCAUCUCCACUCAGAUGAACUGUCCAAGGUCACUCAGUGCUAGAGGACACCCAGGAAUGCUCUCCAGCUCUCAGAUCUUGCUCCUGGAAGCCGCCGCCGGCAGCGAAGGGAGUCACUGAAAGCCUGGGGAGUGGGCGGAGCCCGGAGGCAGAUACCUUGAGGUUGGAGAGCUGCCCAAAGCUCUUGCUGCACACGUUGCACUGGUACAGGAUUUUGCCGUUUUCUUUCUUCAGUGGAAGGAAGAGGUGAGGCCUGGUCGUGACCUCUACCCUCCAUCAGCCACCAUCUGCCUGUGUGACCUUGGGAACGUGACUGAGCUCCUAUGAGCCUCUCUCCUCACCUGUACCCACAGUUACUGCACCCACUUCGCUGGAGGGUAAAGAGAGCCCAGUGGGGCGGAUGGGGUUCCAUUCUACAGAUGAAGAACUGAGCUCCAAAGAUGAGAAUUAACCUGUCUGAAGACACACAGGCAGUAAGCAAAACAGCACAGAAAAGGAAAUAAAGUUGGCAGAUCAGCCCGAAUCACGCAACAGCCUAACUCCAGAGUCACAUCCUUGAGUAACUCAUGAAAACACUUGUGAACGUGGGCAGAAGAAUCGGAGCCACUGCUUCAAGUGAAUGUCUUUUGAUUUUUCUUGAAUAUGUUCUCUCCUGGAUCAAAACUCUAGGGCCCUGGGACGGUUGGUGAAAUCUGAACAUAGAUCAGAUCUUAGUGCUCUACCUGUGCUUAGUUCUGUGUUCCUGAUAUGGAGGGUUGCAUGUCGGUUAUUUAGAAGCCUCUAUUCGAAGACAGCGUGGACUUGGGCCAGGAUUUAGCUCAGCAGCAAGCGCCUGCCUGUCAGGUAUAAGGUUGUGAGUUUAAUCCCUGGUACCAAAAAAAUAAAAUCAAAUAAAAGACAAUGUGCACUGAA